GUCCAGACUCCUACGGGAGGCAGCAGUGGGGGAUAUUGCACAAUGGGGGGAACCCUGAUGCAGCGACGCCGCGUGGGCGAUGGAGCGCCUCGGCGCGUAAAGCCCUAUCAGCAGGGAAGAAGAUGACGGUACCUGACUAAGAAGCCCCGGCUAAAUACGUGCCAGCAGCCGCGGUAAUACGUAUGGGGCAAGCGUUAUCCGGAUUUACUGGGUGUAAAGGGGGCGCAGACGGCAGCGCAAGCCAGGAGUGAAAGCCCGGGGCCCAACCCCGGGACUGCUCUUGGAACUGCGCGGCUGGAGUGCAGGAGGGGCAGGCGGAAUUCCUGGUGUAGCGGUGAAAUGCGUAGAUAUCAGGAGGAACACCGGUGGCGAAGGCGGCCUGCUGGACUGCGACUGACGUUGAGGCCCGAAAGCGUGGGGAGCAAACAGGAUUAGAUACCCCGGUAUGU
This 449-nucleotide ribosomal RNA is filed under the name uncultured bacterium. RNAcentral describes it as "bacterial SSU rRNA". It matches the Rfam family "Bacterial small subunit ribosomal RNA", at positions 329 to 794 of the family's 1533-position model. The record is from RNAcentral.